Molecule: RNase P RNA, 369 nt
Filed under: Methylobacter sp.
Lineage: Bacteria; Pseudomonadati; Pseudomonadota; Gammaproteobacteria; Methylococcales; Methylococcaceae
Description: RNase P RNA component class A
Rfam family: Bacterial RNase P class A
About the family: Ribonuclease P (RNase P) is a ubiquitous endoribonuclease, found in archaea, bacteria and eukarya as well as chloroplasts and mitochondria. Its best characterised activity is the generation of mature 5'-ends of tRNAs by cleaving the 5'-leader elements of precursor-tRNAs.
Source: RNAcentral
AGAGUUGGCUGAGCAGUCGCUGUUUUAUCGCAAGAUAAGAUGGAGGAAAGUCCGGGCUCCACUGGGCAGGGUGCCAGGUAACGCCUGGGAGGCGUGAGCCUACGGAAAGUGCCGCAGAAAAUAUACCGCCUGUCACUAGUGCUCCAUGUGAGUAUUUAUGAUCGGUAAGGGUGAAAAGGUGCGGUAAGAGCGCACCGCGCAACUGGUAACAGGAGUGGCAUGGUAAACCCCACCCGGAGCAAGAUCAAAUAGAGGGACAGACGCGUGGCCCGCGCGGUUCCUGGGUAGAUUGCUUGAGCUGCUGAGUGAUCUGCAGCCUAGAUGAAUGACUGUUCUCGACAGAACCCGGCUUAUAGGCCGACUCUUUCU